Molecule: long non-coding RNA, 994 nt
Organism: Cygnus olor (mute swan)
Lineage: Eukaryota; Metazoa; Chordata; Aves; Anseriformes; Anatidae
Exons: 5
Source: RefSeq, a predicted model, not a curated record
CUUUGCGGGCGCGCGGCGACGCCGUUGCUAGGGGAGGGCCUCCCUCAGAGGCCGAGCUGGGGAGCGAGCGCCGCCCGCCGUUUGUGAAGAGCCGCUCCCGGGUUAAACCCGAAGGACGUUAUUUCGGCUUGGAGGCAUGACACCUUACUUUGAAUUGGUACCAUUGCAUGUAAUCAGACACCAAGGUUGAAGACAAGUGGGAAGCAAUUAGAUGGAUUUUACAGCCAGAAUCUGAAGCUUGGAGAAACAACCCAGAACAUCCAGGAGGAAUGCUAAAAUGGCUGUUAAGGAAAGUCAUGAAGAUGAGGUACAUCUUAUUCCCUACAGAGACAUUUCAGUGUGAACCAGCUGAAGGAAGUAGCUGUUUGAGGCUUGUCGUCUGUGUGUACAGUGCAUGAUCAAGAAAGGAGGACACACCUUUCUCCAGGAGGAGGUUGAGCAAGAUCUGACAAGCAUACAGAGCUACGGUAUCCAUGCUUCCAGAGACUGGCAGAAAGACUGCAUCAUUCUUCAGCCACGGGUGUCAUGAAAUGAUUAUACAUUUUUGUCCAUUGAUUUCUCCCAUCCUACUCUCUUUAAAAGUUGCUGGAGAUUUCACACCAGUUUGUUCCGUAUCACAACGAUAACAAAUGUAGAAGAAAAAAAAUCCCUAAUCCACAGAAGUUUGAGUUUGUUUGUUUGUUUGUUUGUUUUAAAGCAUCUUGAAUUAAAUUCAAAAGCAAAUUGUCCAUUUAUUGAAUCUUGAGUGCAAUGAUUCAGUGUUACUUGCCUCUAGAUGGUGCUCUCACAUGGAGAUUAAAGAGUUUCAUUCGCAUUAUUAGUACAAUUUUCAUAAUUCUCUCAGAAUCAGCAUAAACCCCCUCAAACAAGCAAGAAAAUAACUUGCUAGAAUGUAUACAACUGUACCAUAUGUUCCAUUCCGAACAAAUUCAUAACUGAAAUGUACCUUUUUUACACAACUGAUGUGAUACUGAUAACUCAGAUUGUAUGAGUA